UAGACUAGGAGAUAAUUGUAAGA
Molecule: non-coding RNA, 23 nt
Filed under: Cricetulus griseus (Chinese hamster)
Lineage: Eukaryota; Metazoa; Chordata; Mammalia; Rodentia; Cricetidae
Source: RNAcentral